Molecule: ribosomal RNA, 753 nt
Filed under: uncultured bacterium
Lineage: Bacteria
Description: bacterial SSU rRNA
Rfam family: Bacterial small subunit ribosomal RNA
Source: RNAcentral
UCGAGCGAGAAAGGGGCUUCGGCCCUGAGUAAAGCGGCGCACGGGUGAGUAACACGUGGGUAAUCUGCCCUUGAGUGGGGAAUAACACCGGGAAACCGGUGCUAAUACCGCAUACGAUCACGAUGUUUGCGGAUGUUGUGAUGAAAGGAGCAAUUCGCUCUUGGAGGAGCCCGCGGCUGAUUAGCUAGUUGGUAAGGUAAUGGCUUACCAAGGCAACAAUCAGUAGCCGGUCUGAGAGGACGGUCGGCCACACUGGAACUGAGACACGGCCCAGACUCCUACGGGAGGCAGCAGUGGGGAAUUUUUCGCAAUGGGGGCAACCCUGACGAAGCAACGCCGCGUGGGUGAUGAAGUCUCUUGGGACGUAAAACCCUUUCGACGGGGAAGAAACCGCAAGGUUGACGGUACCCGUAGAAGAAGCCCCGGCUAACUCCGUGCCAGCAGCCGCGGUAAUACGGGGGGGGCAAGCGUUGUUCGGAAUUACUGGGCGUAAAGGGCGCGUAGGCGGUUUGCUAAGUCGAGUGUGAAAACUCUGGGCUUAACCCAGAGCCCGCAUUCAAUACUGGCAGGCUAGAGUUCUGGAGGGGAUAGCGGAAUUCCUGGUGUAGCGGUGAAAUGCGUAGAUAUCAGGAGGAACACCGGUGGCGAAGGCGGCUAUCUGGACAGAGUCUGACGCUGAGGCGCGAAAGCUAGGGGAGCAAACAGGAUUAGAUACCCUGGUAGUCCUAGCCCUAAACGAUGGAUACUUGCUGU